UACGGAGGGUGCAAGCGUUAAUCGGAAUUACUGGGCGUAAAGCGUGCGCAGGCGGUUUGUUAAGUCCGCUGUGAAAUCCCCGAGCUCAACUUGGGAAUUGCAGUGGAUACUGGCAAGCUGGAGUAUGGUAGAGGAAGGUGGAAUUCCCGGUGUAGCAGUGAAAUGCGUAGAGAUCGGGAGGAACACCAGUGGCGAAGGCGGCUUCCUGGUCUGCGACUGACGCUGUGGCGCGAAAGCUAGGGGAGCAAACGGG
Molecule: ribosomal RNA, 253 nt
Filed under: uncultured bacterium
Lineage: Bacteria
Description: partial 16S ribosomal RNA
Rfam family: Bacterial small subunit ribosomal RNA
Source: RNAcentral